Molecule: ribosomal RNA, 905 nt
Filed under: uncultured bacterium
Lineage: Bacteria
Description: bacterial SSU rRNA
Rfam family: Bacterial small subunit ribosomal RNA
Source: RNAcentral
GAGUUUGAUCAUGGCUCAGGAUGAACGCUAGCGGGAGGCUUAACACAUGCAAGCCGAGGGGUAUAGUUAGCUUGCUAACUAGAGACCGGCGCACGGGUGCGUAACGCGUAUGCAACUUGCCCUACUGAAAAGGAUAGCCCUUCGAAAGGAGGAUUAAUACUUUAUAACAGAUUUAAUGGCAUCAUUAGAUUUUGAAAGAUUUAUCGCAGUAGGAUAGGCAUGCGUAAGAUUAGUUAGUUGGUGAGGUAACGGCUCACCAAGACGAUGAUCUUUAGGGGGCCUGAGAGGGUGAACCCCCACACUGGUACUGAGACACGGACCAGACUCCUACGGGAGGCAGCAGUGAGGAAUAUUGGACAAUGGGUGGAAGCCUGAUCCAGCCAUCCCGCGUGUAGGAUGACGGCCUUAUGGGUUGUAAACUACUUUUAUCUGGGGAUAAACCUACUUACGUGUAAGUAGCUGAAGGUACCAGAAGAAUAAGCACCGGCUAACUCCGUGCCAGCAGCCGCGGUAAUACGGAGGGUGCAAGCGUUAUCCGGAUUUAUUGGGUUUAAAGGGUCCGUAGGCGGAUUAAUCAGUCAGUGGUGAAAUCUCAUAGCUUAACUAUGAAACUGCCAUUGAUACUGUUAGUCUUGAGUGAUGUUGAAGUUGCUGGAAUGUGUAGUGUAGCGGUGAAAUGCUUAGAUAUUACGCAGAACACCAAUUGCGAAGGCAGGUGACUAAACAUUAACUGACGCUGAUGGACGAAAGCGUGGGGAGCGAACAGGAUUAGAUACCCUGGUAGUCCAUGCCGUAAACGAUGGAUACUUGCUGUUGGGCUUUCGGGUUCAGUGGCUAAGCGAAAGUUAUAAGUAUCCCACCUGGGGAGUACGUUCGCAGAAUGAAACUCAAAGGAAUUGACGGGG